AGUGAACGCUGGCGGUAGGCCUAACACAUGCAAGUCGAACGGCAGCACAGGAGAGCUUGCUCUCUGGGUGGCGAGUGGCGGACGGGUGAGGAAUACAUCGGAAUCUACUCUGUCGUGGGGGAUAACGUAGGGAAACUUACGCUAAUACCGCAUACGACCUACGGGUGAAAGCAGGGGACCUUCGGGCCUUGCGCGAUUGAGUGAGCCGAUGUCGGAUUAGCUAGUUGGCGGGGUAAAGGCCCACCAAGGCGACGAUCCGUAGCUGGUCUGAGAGGAUGAGCAGCCACACUGGAACUGAGACACGGUCCAGACUCCUACGGGAGGCAGCAGUGGGGAAUAUUGGACAAUGGGCGCAAGCCCGAUCCAGCCAUACCGCGUGGGUGAAGAAGGCCUUCGGGUUGUAAAGCCCUUUUGUUGGGAAAGAAAUCCAGCUGGCUAAUACCCGGUUGGGAUGACGGUACCCAAAGAAUAAGCACCGGCUAACUUCGUGCCAGCCGCCGCAGUAA
This 506-nucleotide ribosomal RNA is filed under the name uncultured bacterium. RNAcentral's name for it is "partial 16S ribosomal RNA". It matches the Rfam family "Bacterial small subunit ribosomal RNA", at positions 29 to 523 of the family's 1533-position model. The record is from RNAcentral.